GGAGAGGUGUCCGAGUGGUCGAAGGAGCACGCCUGGAAAGUGUGUAUAGCGGUGACGUUAUCGUGGGUUCGAAUCCCAUCCUCUCCGCCA
RNAcentral lists this transfer RNA (90 nucleotides) under Candidatus Saccharimonadota bacterium. RNAcentral's name for it is "tRNA-Ser". It matches the Rfam family "tRNA". From Rfam's summary of the family: Transfer RNA (tRNA) molecules are approximately 80 nucleotides in length. Lineage: Bacteria; Candidatus Saccharimonadota. The record is from RNAcentral.